CGCGGCUCUCCGCGCGGCGAUACCUCGCCCAACUCCCCCAGGACCGGAAGGUAGCAAGGGUAAGCGAGCUCUUUCGGGUGCGCGGAGAGUUCUCCUU
Molecule: signal recognition particle RNA, 97 nt
Filed under: Propionibacteriaceae bacterium
Lineage: Bacteria; Bacillati; Actinomycetota; Actinomycetes; Propionibacteriales; Propionibacteriaceae
Description: signal recognition particle sRNA small type
Rfam family: Bacterial small signal recognition particle RNA
About the family: The signal recognition particle (SRP) is a universally conserved ribonucleoprotein involved in the co-translational targeting of proteins to membranes.
Source: RNAcentral